GACGAACGCUGGCGGCGUGCCUAAUACAUGCAAGUUGAGCGAUGAAGAUUGGUGCUUGCACCAAUUUGAAGAGCAGCGAACGGGUGAGUAACGCGUGGGGAAUCUGCCUUUGAGCGGGGGACAACAUUUGGAAACGAAUGCUAAUACCGCAUAACAACUUUAAACAUAAGUUUUAAGUUUGAAAGAUGCAAUUGCAUCACUCAAAGAUGAUCCCGCGUUGUAUUAGCUAGUUGGUGAGGUAAAGGCUCACCAAGGCGAUGAUACAUAGCCGACCUGAGAGGAUGAUCGGCCACAUUGGGACUGAGACACGGCCCAAACUCCUACGGGAGGCAGCAGUAGGGAAUCUUCGGCAAUGGACGAAAGUCUGACCGAGCAACGCCGCGUGAGUGAAGAAGGUUUUCGGAUCGUAAAACUCUGUUGGUAGAGAAGAACGUUGGUGAGAGUGGAAAGCUCAUCAAGUGACGGUAACUACCCAGAAAGGGACGGCUAACUACGUG
This 497-nucleotide ribosomal RNA is filed under the name uncultured bacterium. Its description in RNAcentral is "partial 16S ribosomal RNA". It matches the Rfam family "Bacterial small subunit ribosomal RNA", at positions 28 to 507 of the family's 1533-position model. The record is from RNAcentral.